AUGGAAACGGUGAAGGCGGCCUGGGAGGAACAAGUCUCUAGUAAUGACCCCAUGAAGAUUUUCAGUGUGAAACUGCAGCGCACCGCGAAGGCUCUCAGAAGUUGGGGUCAAAGGAAACAGAGCCAUAUGACCACCCUUUUUCAGAUUGCAAAUGAGCUGAUUUUGCGUUUAGAUGGCGCACGGGAAAAUAGAUCUUUGUCAGAAGAGGAACGCAAGCUAAAGGCUUUUUUGAAGGGAAAGUGCCUGGCACUCGCUUCCCUGGAGAGGGUGCGUCUCCGACAGCAUGCCAGAGUGAGAGACCUUCAGGAGGGGGAUGCUAAUUCCAAGUACUUCCACUUGAAAGCUAAUGGACGGCGUCGAAAGCGUCAAAUUCCUUUCUUCAAGGAUGGCGAUCGCAUGGUCUCAGCCAUGGAGGAUAAAAUGAAUCUAGCAUGGAGUUUUUACUGUGGUCUUAUGGGCACGCCGGCGCCUACUACAUCUUCCUUGAGGCUAGAUGAUUUGAAUCUGCAUAGUUUAUCCCCGGAGCUGGCUUCUGGUCUAGAAGUGGAGUUCACUGACACCGAGGUCAUGCAGGUGAUUAUGGAGAUGCCUUCUGACCGGGCUCCUGGGCCUGACGGUUUCUCCGGCCUAUUCUAUAAGGCUUGCUGGGAGGUUAUUAGGGAAGAUUUGAUGGCUAUCAUGCAUGAUCUGCACAGGGGCAAAUUCUUCUCCUUUGGCCGGUUAAACUCAUCAAUUAUUUCAUUGCUGCCUAAGAUAGACAGAUCCUUGGAAGUGGCAGAUUUCCGACCGAUAAACCUAAUUCAUGGUGCUGCUAAAUUUUUUGCCAAGGUCCUGGCUGUUCGCCUUGCUCCGUUGCUACCUGGGCUGAUCUCGCAAGUUCAGAGUGCUUUUGUCAGCAGGAGAAGUAUCCACGAGAACUUCAAAUUUAUGCACAAUACCGCACGGCUGCUGCAUCAUAGGAAAGUCCCGGCUGUGCUUAUGAAGAUUGACAUCUCCAAAGCCUUUGAUACUUUGUCCUGGGAAUUCAUUCUCAAAUUGUUGAUUCGGAGAGGUUUUGGACGAAGAUGGUGCUCUUGGAUCUGUGGCCUCAUGUGCACUGCCUCAUCCUCGGUGAUGGUCAAUGGUGAGACUAGUGAUCCCUUUGCGUUGGCUAGUGGUGUAAGACAAGGCGAUCCACUGUCACCGGUGCUCUUCAUCCUGGCUAUGGACACGCUUCAGGCUAUGAUUCAUUGGGCUACCAGGCACAAUCUACUCCCGGACAUGGGGCUUGGGAGCAAUGUGCCAAGGGCUUCUUUCUUCGCGGAUGACGCGAUCCUUUUCUUCAGACCUACGCCAAGCGAUAUGCAGGUCAUUUCUGCUGCUCUGAAGCUGUUUGGUGAAGCCACUGGACUUCGUAUCAAACUACAAAAGAGCACCAUUACUUGCAUCAGGAAAAGUGACACCAUAUCAGCGGGGGUGGCACAUCAUUUUUCCUGCCAGCUGAAGCAAUUUCCCAUUCAAUAUUUGGGGCUCCCUCUAUCAAUUUUCAGAUUACAACGCCAACAUAUACUGCCCCUCAUCGACAAAUACUCCAGCAGGAUGAAAGGAUGGAAGCCAAGGAUGCUUGCGCCUGCGGGACGGUUGGCACUUACGCAAUCUGUGUUGAUGGCAUUGCCCUUGCAUUUUCUUUCAGUGCUGCCACUGCCGGCAUGGGCUUUGGAAAUCAUCAACAUGAGGUGUAGGGGCUUCAUUUGGAAAGGGGAAAAUGAGAUCAAUGGAGGUCAUUGUCUUCUGCCUUGGGCGAGAGUGUGUAUGCCGAAGGAGUGUGGUGGCCUGGGCAUCUUGAACUUGAAGUGGUUCGGCUCGGCUUUGCAUUACCGAUGA
RNAcentral lists this ribosomal RNA (1863 nucleotides) under Triticum aestivum (bread wheat). RNAcentral describes it as "partial small subunit ribosomal RNA". The record is from RNAcentral. Lineage: Eukaryota; Viridiplantae; Streptophyta; Magnoliopsida; Poales; Poaceae.